Molecule: long non-coding RNA, 1325 nt
Organism: Mesocricetus auratus (golden hamster)
Lineage: Eukaryota; Metazoa; Chordata; Mammalia; Rodentia; Cricetidae
Exons: 2
Source: RefSeq, a predicted model, not a curated record
UCUCCAACAUGGAGGAAGGUGCACUGCCUGCUGCUGUGGGCAGGGAGAAGCCCGUGGCGCCCCUAGCCUUCUGCCCAGAAGCACUCCUCCCCUGGCUUCCGAGAGCACUGGGACACAAGGAUGAGCUGAGGCUCCUUGGCUAUGUGGCUUCAUUGGGUGCCAGACACAACUGAACACUUCAUAACAUGUUUUCCCACGAUGAUGGAAUGUCAAGGAUUUUAAAGGCACCUCGCAUGAACACCCCUCACUUUGCAUCUUCCCGAAGAACGUGAACACACUGUUCCAUUCCCCAGCCUGGAAUGUCCUCUGCACUCACGCGCAGUCAAGGCUCAGUUGGAACAGCCACUCCUUCUGGGGGAAAAGGGAAUCGGACCACACUGGCUUCACCACCCAUCCUGACAGUGUCCGUUUCAGGCACAGGGACUUCUGCUACAACGCACCACACGACUGCGUCUGAAAGCUACUCACGGGCUGCUGCACACAGCAAGACUAGCGAGGCACACGGGAAAAAGUGCUGGGCAGCGCGUGCUCUGCCGUUCUGACUCUGGGCUCUAAUAAAAUCAACCCAAUUGGAGUAAUAGCAGAGCUUAAAAGACAUGGUAACCUCCCAACAAGCUAAAAAUAGCGCUUUGUCAAGAAAAGCACAGGCACGGCGUGAGAGAAGGUGUGUGUGUGUGUGUGUGUGUGUGUGUGUGUGUGUGUGUGGAAGGUGGUGGUGUGCGCACAGGAGACCCAGCACCUGGGAAGAGCCAGCAGCAAGCGCCUCUCGGGGCGGCUGUCCUGGCAGAGGCAAGAGAAAGGACCUCGGGACUGGAUGCCAUACGCAGAUUUGCUGUGUGCUCCUGGGUGUGACCUCCUCCUUCAGCUCCCAGGAGUCUGCCCUCACGGGAGCUAGACCAAACAGAAGACACCACGCAACAACUCAUGCUUUCUCGCACUUGCUGGGUAGGCGUUGAGAAGGAAACCGGCCCCCAUUGAAGAUCCCUUAUGCGGGCUGUUGACUAUGGUCAAGCUGUAGCCCGCCCGAGGCGUAUUGUUGUGUCUCAGUGUUGAGAUGAGUCAGCCUUCAUCCCGGAGGCUAGAGAUGUAAUUACAGGGAGAAGGUGUCUCAGUAGUGUCACACGUUAGAUCCGGAAUCGAUAUUCUUGAAUAUUUAUGUUCUCCUGUAUAUGCGCUGUUCAGCCGGAGAGACACAGUCUACCAAGACACCACUUAAUAAGGCGUUACCUCACAGCCUACCUACACUAAAUUCGAAUUAUUUAUAUGGCACGUCAGUUCUUAGUGUUCUCUGGCCAGGAAUAAAAAUGUGCAUGUUGGUGUUGGCA